AUGACCGCCGGGUGGUCCGCUGGUGCGGGCCUAACCGGGCAAGCACAAGGUCCGGCGCUCGGCCUCACAGGGCGCGGGCGCAGCCUAGGCGGUGGAGGUGGCCGUGGAGAGUGCUACGACGCUGCCGUACAUGGCCGCGGACAAGGCAAUGAUAACACGGCUGUGGGGGCGACCUUGGCCAUGCUGCUGGGCAUGGCAACGGUGGACAUGGCCUUGGCGUUGGGCGUGGCGCGCGAGGUAGUGCUGGCCGUGGCGUUGGGCGCGGCGCCGGUCGUGGCGUCGGUCGCGGCACCGGUCGUGCAGCCGGUCGUGGCCGUGGACAUAGCGACAUGGACGAGGCUGCGGGCCAUGGCGCCGGUUGUGCAGCAGGACGUGGCCGUGGAGCCAGAGGUGGGUGUGGGUUGGGCAACGUCCAAGAGGCCAUGGUCAUUGGUGUCGAACAUGGCACCAGGCCUAGCGUCGGGCAUGGAGCCGGACGUGGCCGCCGCAUACUAG
This 495-nucleotide ribosomal RNA is filed under the name Triticum aestivum (bread wheat). RNAcentral describes it as "partial small subunit ribosomal RNA". The record is from RNAcentral. Lineage: Eukaryota; Viridiplantae; Streptophyta; Magnoliopsida; Poales; Poaceae.